Molecule: non-coding RNA, 330 nt
Organism: Danio rerio (zebrafish)
Lineage: Eukaryota; Metazoa; Chordata; Actinopteri; Cypriniformes; Danionidae
Source: RefSeq, a predicted model, not a curated record
CAGCAGCUGGGCCUGAUUCUCACAAAACCAAAACAGACGUGAUGAAAUUCCAGAUUUAAAUACGUUUGACCUUCCUUUGUCCAAUUUGAUUUGGAAAAGCUUGAAAAUCAACUAAAGAAGCAGCCCGAACAAAUGAAGAAACUAGUAGCCUACUUUGGAAUCAUUGGUGUUUUCCACUGAGCAGUUUGCCGUAUCCUGGAAAAGCUUCUGGCUAACUCAUUGGCUAAACAAAUUAACUGGAGCGGACCAAAUUAAAAAGUGGCCUUUCGUGCACUACCCCUUAGGACUGUCAUAGUCAAUGCAGUGAGGACAAAUGUCCAUACCACACCA